This 274-nucleotide ribosomal RNA is filed under the name uncultured bacterium. RNAcentral describes it as "partial 16S ribosomal RNA". It matches the Rfam family "Bacterial small subunit ribosomal RNA", at positions 524 to 796 of the family's 1533-position model. The record is from RNAcentral.
GACGGAGGGUGCUAGCGUUGUUCGGAAUCACUGGGCGUAAAGGGCGCGUAGGCGGCCUUGGCAGUCGGCUCGUGAAAGCCCGGGGCUCAACCCCGGAGGUGCGGCCGAUACACCAAGGCUUGAGGCCGGAAGAGGAGGGUGGAAUACCCAGUGUAGAGGUGAAAUUCGUAGAUAUUGGGUGGAACACCGGUGGCGAAAGCGGCUCUCUGGUCCGGACCUGACGCUGAGGCGCGAAAGCGUGGGGAGCAAACAGGAUUAGAAACCCCCGUAGUCC